UGUGAACCUGCGGAAGGAUCAUUA
Molecule: non-coding RNA, 24 nt
Filed under: Drosophila melanogaster (fruit fly)
Lineage: Eukaryota; Metazoa; Arthropoda; Insecta; Diptera; Drosophilidae
Also listed under: 6 other names
Source: RNAcentral